CAGGACAGAGGGAGGGCGGCUGUGACCAGCACACGGUACGUGCUUCCCGUGCGCAAGGCCCCGGGAGCUCAUCAGCUUGCGUAACCAUCACUUACAAUGAUAACCAAGGGGAGUGCUGAAGGCAGAAAAUCACUGAACUGGGGAGCCCAGAAAGCAGCAGCCGUAAAUACGAGAUGACCUUCCAAGAGCCGGAUGCCUGAAUUUACGACUUUGGAGACUACGAGACCAUGGGCCGCAGCAAGGGGAGCAUCGCGGCAGCAGGGGGCUGAGGAGGAAGGGAGAGCUCAUGGCCUUAAGUGAGGAGCGCAGCGGCCAGGCUGGACCUUCGCCGGCUCGCGGCAGGGCCUUCGCGGCGCCGCCCGCAGUAAGGCUCCGUGAGAAGAGCUGUGGACCAGGCCGGCGGCCUGAACGAUCCCGGGGCCUGAGGGCCGCUCCGGGACGCGCUCGAGGGCAAGGGGCGGGAGGCCAGGUCAAGGUCAGGCCCUGGGAAUAAGCCGGGGGAGGAGGAGCGACUCUGAAGGGGCGGGGCGACCGAUCGCGUCCCUGGGCAGGCACAGGGCACAGCACCGACUGCAAGCUAGGUUAAAGGCCACGUUUCGGGAUCCGGCAGGAAGCUCCUGUCCGUGGAGGGCCGCAGUCUAGCAUGUCCUGUCCUGUGUUCUUGACCACAAGGCCACCAUGCAGUGAGCAGCUGUCCUCCACCAGGCUCUUUUGCCUCAUGUUUCUGGAGUGGAGCAGCUGGCCAUGGACUGAACCCAGUGGAACUGUGAACCAAUGUACCGUGGUCUCCGCCUCCCUCCCCAUGAGAUCACAUUCUUUGGCCUCACACCUACUGCCACCACCACCACCAAGUCUUCCCUUGAAAAAUCUAAAUCGGAAAGAAAACAGCUGAGUGACACCAGAAAAUUAAAUACAUAAAACCAUGUAUCUUCCCUCUGGAGUCUACCCCAUGGCCAAUGCUGGUUUGCUUCGACUGCUCCUUUCCAGUUUCAACCACCCAGUUCCACUAACUACAGCUCUGAAGACUGGGAAACUCCACAGCCAAGCUAAAUCAACCCAGAAGAGUAGAUCCUUCACGGAGAAAAAAGAUUGUCUGCAGCCGAAGAGAGGUAAAAGAGGGGAGGACUAUCACACAGGACAGAAGACUGUCCCUGUGCUUCCCUACCUUUCAGCACUGAGCUUCCACACCCUCAAGUCAUUACUUCUGGUUCAAGAUGGUGUGACUCACAUCAAAUGAAACAGGGUUAGAAGAGCUUUUAUAGAAAAAACUUCCAAAGUGAGUCUGAAGUAAAAAGUCUAACAGUGUCUUAAAUUUAUUCCUUGCUAAUGUAGAAGUUCAUCUAAUUAAAUUUGAUGUUUGGGUUGGAGUCAGUAUGGAGCACUUGCCUUACAUGUGGGAGCUCGGAGUUCACUACCCAGUGUUGCAAAAUAAAUAAAAAUGAAUGAAAGUCUUCUUUAUCACCUAGGAAUCAUGAGUGUUGAGCAAUUUCAUGGAAAGCCAAUAAUGCCCCCUUUCUGGAUUCAGCAUGUCAAAUCUGACUGCAGCACUGGAUGUGGAAUUCUAGGAUAUUGUCCACUAAGUAUUUUUAGUAUUUUCAUGGCAUACAAGGACCUCUGUAGGCUGCAAUCUAGUCCUGGGUUCACAAAAACUCAUUUGGUUAAAAUUUUAAAAUCCUAGAAACUCAGAUUCUCCUGCAAGGAAAAGAUCACCUCAUUUGAGAGAAAGGCCAAUGUACAGAAAUGUGCACACACAGCACACAGAUUUGAUGGAAUUCCCCACAAGGCACACAGUUCGCCAAUACUAUGUUGUUCCCACACCUGAAGCUGUUACGGUUCCCGGCUUUGGGCAAACGGAAGUUGGUGCUUACUGUCACCCAGAGUCCGAGGCUCCGUGGUCUCACUGGCAGAUGACAGGACACGACCAGGUUUGGAGCGACCUUUGUAACAGCUUCAGCUAAGUCUGAUUACUCCAAAUAUAUGGGUUCUGAAGCUGUGAUUUUGGACUCUAAUGCCUGUUUUGCUCUUGGAAGCAUCUUUAGUUUCUUGCUUUACUUUCUGCCUCAAAUUUGGACUUAGCUCUUUCAUCUGCUCCAAGGUUUCUGUCCAGAUUCACUCCCACAAAUCUCCAACAGAAGGUAACAAACAGCACAGCGACUCAGCAUUCUAAAUUUCAAUGUAAAAAAUAUGAAAAAUGGUUAAUGUAAGAUUCUUAUACAGGUGCCAGUUCUAUCUACCAGUAGUUAAUCAUGGGGAGGGCAACUCACAUUUUUAAUCAUUGUUCUUCAUCUUGGGUUUGUUCCAG
Molecule: long non-coding RNA, 2302 nt
Filed under: Heterocephalus glaber (naked mole-rat)
Lineage: Eukaryota; Metazoa; Chordata; Mammalia; Rodentia; Bathyergidae
Description: lncRNA (ENSHGLG00100035375.1)
Source: RNAcentral